CUCUGACACCACAUCCUUGUGUUCCAUUGGUGUGAUUCAUCUGCAGAUACCAGAACUGCAUAAUUCAUCACAGAUCUUUACUACAGAUAUAAUUACACUAAAUCCUUUGGCCUGAGCAGUGUGAAGCCUUCUCUAAGUGGUGAUAUCCAAGGAGAGGACCAGCAGAGCAGACAGUUGGAGCUCUCCCACGCAACUUCCCUGGAGCAGACCAAGCACGGAGGAUCUCCCUCUGCUGCUGCUCCUGUCACACAGCUGGGCUUCAAAGAGGAUGCUCCUCUCCCACGUGCUUCAAAGGGAAACCAGGAGCCACAGAACAAUUUACUCCCACUCACAGGGCGAGGGGAAAUCCUCUUCUAACAGGGGAUCAUCCUGUUACAACGAGGAUGUCUGGUGAUUUAUGGCAUGCAGCUUUAAACCCUCUUUCCCCUCCAAAGAAACACAGGAGACAGCAGAGCUGGAGGGAGAUAGGAGAGAGAGCUGACAUUGGCAAUGCUUGAAAUAUAGUGUGAGAGCUGGGAAAACCCUUCCUUGCUGUCUUCAUUAGCAUGACUUAAUUAAUAGUUAUAAUCUUAUCAAACAGAGGUUGCCAUGCAGGAGGGAUUGCAGGCUGGAAAUCAAAGCAUUAAUAAAUAGAUAUUUUAAGACUAAAAAGCACCACUGUCGUUUUGUCUGGCUUCCUGUGUAAUUGAUGCCAGAAACUGACCUUUUCAGUGGAAAAAAAAAAAGUGGAUUUAAUAGGAAGGUAUUAGAAUUGUGAUAUUUUUGGGUAAUAAUUUUAACAAUCAAAAUUUGAGUGGUUUAUUUUGCAAAAAAACAAAUAUAUCUGUACUUGAUUGGCUUUCAUUUUCAUUUUCUGCUCUAAAUGCUCUGUAAAUCCCAAAGACUGUAUGCUCUGUGGGGCUUAUGCAUCCAUUUUCUUAAUCUUGUAUUCUGGCAUUGAAUCUAAAUUUUAAAAGAAUAUUCUCAUUCUGGGACAAAGAAAAUUUUCCUUUUUUGACACGAAAAAGCUCUUGAAACUUACAUUAAAUACUGCAAAAAAUUAA
This is a long non-coding RNA of Passer domesticus (house sparrow), 1043 nucleotides long. RefSeq lists it as uncharacterized. Lineage: Eukaryota; Metazoa; Chordata; Aves; Passeriformes; Passeridae. The record is from RefSeq and is a predicted model, not a curated record. The transcript is spliced from 2 exons.